AAAGAAAAAAUUAUAUUAAUAAUAAAUUAUUAGUAUUGUAAAAGAAAUUUGAAAUAAUUUGAAAAAUUUAUAGUUAAAAAGAAAAUUUAAUUUAUUGUACCUUGUGUAUCAGGGUUUAUUAAAUAAAAUUUUUAUAUAAAAAUUUCUCGAAAAGAAAAGAUAUAAAAAUAUAUGAUAGUUAAUGUAUUAUAAUUAUUAUAAAUAUAUUUUUAGAAAUGAAAUGUUUUUCGUUUUUCUUAUAUCUAGUUUUUUAAGAAAUAAAUUUAAUUUAGCUAUUUUAUAUAAUAUUAAUUUAAUUUAUUAAAUUAAUAAUAUUUAAUAGUAGUAUUUAAUGGGAUGAGCUAUUAAAUAAAAUUUUAAAAAUUUUUAUUAUAUAAAGUAUUUAUAUGCUUAGAAAUAGCAAUUAUUUAAAAAUUUGUUAUAAUUUAUAUUUUUUAUAUAAUAUUUAUUUUAUUUUAAAUUUUUUAUUAAAAUAUUUUAUUUAAUUUAAAAAUAUAAUUAAUAAUGAUAAAAUUAGUAUAUUUAUUAUGUAAAAAUAAAUUAAAAUGAAAGGUUUAUUUAAAGAAUUCGGCAAAAGAAAAUUUUCGCCUGUUUAACAAAAACAUGUCUUUUUGAAUUUAAUUUAAAGUCUAAUCUGCCCACUGAUUGAUUUAAAGGGCCGCAGUAUAUUAACUGUGCAAAGGUAGCAUAAUCAUUAGUCUUUUAAUUGGAGGCUUGUAUGAAUGAUUGGACGAGAUAUUGACUGUUUCAAAUAAAUUUUUAUAGAAUUUUAUUUUUUAGUUAAAAAGCUAAAAUAAUUUUAAAAGACGAGAAGACCCUAUAGAUCUUUAUAUUUAUAAUAUUUUAUUUUAUAAGAAUUAAUUUAAAUAAUAUAUUAAAUAAUAUUUUGUUGGGGUGAUAUUGAAAUUUAAAAAACUUUCAAUUUUAAUAAAACAAAAAUUAUUGAAUUUUUUUUGAUCCUUUAUUAUUGAUAAAAAAUUCAAGUUACCUUAGGGAUAACAGCGUAAUUAUUUUGGAGAGUUCUUAUCGAUAAAAUAGAUUGCGACCUCGAUGUUGGAUUAAGAUUAAUUCUAGGCGUAGCAGUUUAGUAAAUUAAGUCUGUUCGACUUUUAAAUUCUUACAUGAUCUGAGUUCAAACCGGCGUAAGCCAGGUUGGUUUCUAUCUUUAAAUAAUUAUAAUGUUUUAGUACGAAAGGACCAAAUAUUAAAAAUAUUAAUUUUUUAAGUAUGAAUAAUAUUAAUUUUAUA
Molecule: ribosomal RNA, 1248 nt
Filed under: Chrysotus gramineus
Lineage: Eukaryota; Metazoa; Arthropoda; Insecta; Diptera; Dolichopodidae
Description: large subunit ribosomal RNA
Rfam family: Archaeal large subunit ribosomal RNA (bases 542-1248)
Source: RNAcentral